This 216-nucleotide ribosomal RNA is filed under the name Glomeromycotina sp. RNAcentral describes it as "partial small subunit ribosomal RNA". The stretch from base 40 to 216 matches the Rfam family "Eukaryotic small subunit ribosomal RNA", at positions 686 to 864 of the family's 1831-position model. The record is from RNAcentral. Lineage: Eukaryota; Fungi; Glomeromycota.
GGGUCAGUAGGUUGGUCGUGCCACCGGUACGUACUGGUCUCACUGAUUCCUCCUUCCUGAAGAACCGUAAUGCCAUUAAUUUGGUGUUGCGGGGAAACAGGACUGUUACUUUGAAUAAAUUAGAGUGUUUAAAGCAAGCUAACGCUUGAAUACAUUAGCAUGGAAUAAUGAAAUAGGUCGAUGGAUCCUAUUUUGUUGGUUUCUAGGAUUGACGUA